Molecule: long non-coding RNA, 3365 nt
Organism: Antechinus flavipes (yellow-footed antechinus)
Lineage: Eukaryota; Metazoa; Chordata; Mammalia; Dasyuromorphia; Dasyuridae
Exons: 3
Source: RefSeq, a predicted model, not a curated record
UUAAUCUGCUUUGACUUUUUUCCCUAAGUACAAUGACUGUCAUCUAAUAAAUGCUUAAUAAAUGCUUUAUGAUGAUGAUCUCAUUUAAUCUCCAUGAUAAUCUUGUAAUACAGGUUUUAUCAUUAUUUUAAAAAUGAAGCAACUGAAUGUCAGGGAGGUGAAAUUAUUUCUCUGUGAUCAUGCAGGUAGUGAGUCUUCAAGGAGAGAUUUGAACCAUGAUCUCCCUGAUUCAAGCUUCAGCAUGCCAUGUUUUCUGGGACUGGGUCAAGGGUACUUAUUUAAAAGAAAAAAAAAUGGUAACUAUUUCAGUACAAUCCCUUUCCUUAGUGGUUCUAUAUAUUGUAUUGUAUUCAUUUAAAAAAAAUUCUGAGAAUAUACAUAGAGUUUGAUAGACUGCCAAAGAACUCCACAAAAUAAAAAAGGUUAAGACCUCCUGGAAGAGAUGACUUCUAAGAUACUUUUGAGUUUCAAAUCCAUGUCCCAGAUGGUUGGGCUUCUGACUUUCUGGACUUGCCACCACAGAAUUUGUCUCACUUUGGGUGGAUGCAGACUUUUUACCCAGGAACAUCCCUUCACCAUGUUAAUCCCCAUGUUCUGUUCAUUUCCUUUGGGAAUUCCAUUUUGCAGACAGGCUCACAGCAGGUAUGCUUUGUUACCUUCUGAGCUGUGUUUUUGAUCUGACUUUUUAGAAAUUAAAGAACCUAAUUCAACAGCCUUCUUCUUCUAAAAUAUACCUUAGGUUUGCCAGUUGAUAAAUGGUCAAACAGACAAUUUUCAGAUGAAGAAAUUAAAGCCGUCUAUAGUUAUAUGAAAAAAUGCUCUAAAUCAAUUGACAAUUGAUUAGAGAAAUGCAAAUUAAUCCACUUCUGAGAUACCACCCCAUAUCUCUCAGAUUGGCUUAGAUGACAGGAAAAGAUAAUGGUAAAUGUUGGAGGAGAUGUGGGGAAACUGAGACACUGAUGCAUUGUUGGUAGAAUUGUGAAAUGAUACAACCAUUCUGGAGAGAAAUUUGGAACUAUGUCCAAAGGGCUAUAAAACUGCACAGGCUUUGGCCCAGCAGUGCCAUUACUGGGCCUGUAUCCCAAAGAAAUCUUAAAAGAGGGAAAAGGAUCCACAUUGCAAUAAUUUUUGUAGCAGCUCUUUUUGUGACAGCAAAGAAUUGGGAAAUGAGUAGAUGCUGAACAAGUUGUAGUACAUGAAGGUUAUGGAAUAUUAUUGUUCUAUAAAAAAUGAUGAAUAAGCUGAUUUUAGAAAGAUCUGGAAAGAGUUGUAUGAACUGAUGCUGAUUGAAACAAGCAGAACCAAGAAUACAUUGUACACAAUAACAACAAGAAUGUGCGAUGAUCAACUAUGAAAGACUUGUUUCUUCUCAAUGGUUCAGUAAUCCAAAGCAAUCCCAACAGACUUUGAACAGAAAAUGCCAUCUGCAUCCUGAAAAAGAUCUAAGGGACUGAAUGUAAAUCAACACAUGCUAUGUUUAAUUCUUUUUUUUUUUUUUUUUUAAUCUCUCCCAUGGUUUUUCCAAACCUUUUGCUCUGAAUUUUCUCUCCAAACAUGAUUUAUAAAGUAAUGUGUAUUAAAAAUAAAUAAAUUUACUAUGAAAAUAAGAUAAAAUGAAAUAUGCCUCAGGGCCAUAUUAGUCUCCUUCUUUCAUUGGUGAGUUCCUACUGGGGUCCCCAAUUUGGAAGGGAAACUUAAGCUAGUCAAAUUUAAUCACCUCUUUUGAGGAUAUUGACUCCUCCUUCAACUGUACCUUAUUUGUUCUUCACUAUAUUUUUCAUUGUCCUGAAUUCACCACUAUGAUUUUAUUUGGAUAUUUCUCACCACCCCACCCAUUCCCUUUUCAUCUCUCUUCUGUAUAUUACUCUCCCAUUUUAGAAUAUAAGCUACAGAAGGACAGGGACUGUAUUUAUUUUUGCUUGUAUUUGCAUGUCUAAGGCUUAGCAUAUGCGUGGGUUAUAAUAAGAACUUAAAAAAUUGUUGCCCACUUGCCUGAUUAAAAACUAGUCCUUCAGGCAGGUUUUCGUCCAGUCCUCAUGCCCCUCAAAUGUAGAGGAUCAACAACAAAGAAAUGUAUCAGAGACAUUUAAAAUAAAACAGAACAAAAUACUUUACCCUUUUAAGGGGACUCUUGUGUUGGAAGCAUACAUUUAAAUUGACUCACAACCCUGAGUGUAUCAGUGGAAUAGGCCUUUCUUGGCCUAUCCUGGCCAAAUGGACAUAUUAAUAUGAUUUUCAAGAUAGAUUUCCUGGUUUUUCUGACUCGAAGCAGCUCUGUACUGGAGAUGCGGGCUGGUUUUAUCCUAUUUCAAAUAAGAUCUGAAAAAAGAAGCUGGUAUCACAGAACAAUAUCAAAAUUGUCUUUUUCAUUUUCAGCUCUAGAAGUGAGCACAAGUUCUUUGCCAUAUACCCACGUUGGACUCAUUUCUGCUGCUUGAUUAUGUGUUGAUGCUGUUCAGAUUUUUGGUUAUGUGAGAUCUGGGGGGUUCAAGGGUCAAAGGGCUCCCACUUUGAAUCAGAUACCUACAGUCUCCUUGGCUAACACUUAAUCUUCUCAUAGUACAUUUAAAAAAAUCAAAAUCACAUACACAACACACACAAAAUCACGUACAGUUCAAAGUAAUACAAAUAAACAGAUUCAAGGAAAGCAAGAAUUGCUUUUCUGGGUGGACUUAUUCUUGCUCAUUUCUUCCCUAGGAGAUAAUACCCCGUGACACUCCGUCACAUAACUACACUCAGCCUUUCACAGACGAACCAUUUAAAGAUGCAUUUCCACUCCAUUUGUUUUCUUUAUCUGCCCUUCUAAUGCGCUCCUGGAUUUUUCAACCAGGCGAAAUUUUCAUUCAGAUACCACCAAAUGAAGAACGGUAAAGAAGGCAAAUCAGCAGCAGUAACAACAGCAAAACCCAGCAAAAAUCCGUCAUCCAAGAGGUUUUGAAGGACAAGAUAGAAGAAUAUGCUUUUAUUUUUUUUCUGAAAAGAACAGUUGUUGGCAGCAAAAUGUUAACUGUUACUAAAACUUCCCUGAAGUUUCGAGGAACUGUGGAAAGAUGAAGCCUCAGGUGUUACCCUAGUGGAGUAGCUGGAAAACCAAGAGGAAAGAUCUCUAAAACGCCAUAAAGCAGAAGAUAUUUAUCUGUUAAAUUCUAGGGAGGCUGGUUGCAGAGACAAAUCACAAUAACAGGCGCUUAAACAAUUGUACCUAUGCAUUUGGGUAACAAAAGCACUAGCCACCUGUAUUGGCUGCAUUUGGACCCAAAUGCUAGCAACAGUCUACAGCAUUCAAGUGACAUUCCAGAAUGAGCCGAGCAGGGAAGCAUCAUCCCCCCCCAGGCUUUAGAAGAAUCAGACUUCCUACCUUGCAA